Molecule: non-coding RNA, 835 nt
Organism: Cicer arietinum (chickpea)
Lineage: Eukaryota; Viridiplantae; Streptophyta; Magnoliopsida; Fabales; Fabaceae
Source: RefSeq, a predicted model, not a curated record
UACAUACAUGAUAGCAAUUAAAAAAAAACUAAAAAGAAGAAGAUUUUCUACUCUAACAUAAAUAGGGGACUCCAAUUAUAUAUCAAGUGUGGGUCCGAAAAAUAAAUAUAAUAUUUUUGUGUGUGUUUUUCUUUUCUUCCAGCAUUAAGAAGGUUCCCAUCCCUAUCAGGAAUCUUCAAUUGAUGGCUGUGAUCCUUGUAUGAUAUGAGCAACUUGCAAUUAUAAAAUAUAUUUAACAGGAUAGUGAUGUAUAACAUAUAUAUAAUUUGAUUAGUCCUCCUUGGCAACCUCUAAUUAUUUUAACUAGUGGAUAAUGCCAUGUUAAUAAAGAAAUAUCAAUUUGAACCGACUGCUAGAAAAUCUUCUUUCAUUAGCCAUUCUCAAAAGGAAAAGGCCAACCACAACAGUAUUGUCAAAUAUUUUAAACACAAAAAUACCCUUGUUGCAGUUAUGAUUUAUUAAAGAAGAUUGGGACAUCUAUCAUAUUUUAAAAUGAUAUAUUGUAAAUACAUCGUACUAAGACAGACAAAUCUCAACUAGUUUAAUUGAGAUUUAGAGAAACUUUUACUCUGCAUAAUCUGCCACCAAAGUUUACCAAGCAUGUAAUGAAAGCAACAUUCAAAGAAAAAUAGGAAAGCAAAGGUAAAUAUUAUCACAUUGUGAAGCAGUCAAGGCAAACAAUUUUGAGAGAGCUAUUUGACAUGAAGGGAACUUCCAUAAAAUAUGAUAUAAGAGAGCAGGGACCAGAAAUGUUUGAUUUUAGUUAAUGUUCUCUUAAAUAAAACAAAACAUUAUGAUUUUUCUCUAUAUAAUAAACUUUGUCUCUGUUAUAACA